GACGAACGCUGGCGGCGUGCUUAACACAUGCAAGUCGAACGGAAAGGCCCUGCUUUUGUGGGGUGCUCGAGUGGCGAACGGGUGAGUAACACGUGAGUAACCUGCCCUUGACUUUGGGAUAACUUCAGGAAACUGGGGCUAAUACCGGAUAGGAGCUCCUGCUGCAUGGUGGGGGUUGGAAAGUUUCGGCGGUUGGGGAUGGACUCGCGGCUUAUCAGCUUGUUGGUGGGGUAGUGGCUUACCAAGGCUUUGACGGGUAGCCGGCCUGAGAGGGUGACCGGCCACAUUGGGACUGAGAUACGGCCCAGAAUGCUACGGGAGGCAGCAGUGGGAAAUAUUGCACAAUGGGCGGAAGCCUGAUGCAGCAACGCCGCGUGCGGGAUGACGGCCUUCGGGGUGUAAACCGCUUUCGCCUGUGACGAAGCGUGAGUGACGGUAAUGGGUAAAGAAGCACCGGCUAACUACGUG
Molecule: ribosomal RNA, 468 nt
Filed under: uncultured bacterium
Lineage: Bacteria
Description: partial 16S ribosomal RNA
Rfam family: Bacterial small subunit ribosomal RNA
Source: RNAcentral